UUAUUAGCAUUCCAUGGCAUUUUCUCCAAGUUGCAAUAACAGAUGCCUUUACUGCUCAAGGGUCAUAUCAUUUCUGUCAUCUUAAUUUUAGCCAUCUGUGUACAUGAUACUGUGUUACUGGGGAAAUCCAUAAAAAGUUUUGUAAUGCAUUUCUGAAUCUUAGGAGAACAUAAGUUAUACAUAGCUACAUGGUUCUAAGAAUGGUAGUAAGACCCUUUAUCAAACUGUCCAGGCAUUAAUAGAUAAUAGACUUAUGGGGUUAUUCUUUUGAUAGUUGAAUUGUUGAUGAUAAUAACAUGUUACAGAAGAGUAACAUGUAUAUUGCAGUUUUUAAAAGGUGAGUUCUAUGUGAAGAAAAUCUGUGUGGAACAUUUUAAAGAUAUUCAGGAAACAAAGUAUACAGGUCUCAUCAGUCACUUCUCCAUUGUAUUUUAGGUAAUCUUACAGGUUAGGUUUUCCUUCCUAUAUCUCACUAAGUAAACUAUCAAUUUUUGAAAGUAGGGCUCCAGAGAUUAUUUUAUUUAUUAAUGUAAUGAUAAUAGAAUAUGAAUCAUGUAAAGUUCUUUGAGGGAUUCCCUAAUGGCUGGACUUUGUCCUAAGCCAUAUUCCAGCCCAAUGUUGCUGAGCUCUCGCAACACAACUUAUACAACUGAGCAUUUUUAGGCUCACAACCUAUUUUCAGAAGAUAGAGCUAGACGUUUUAUGUACCAAGUUAUUUUGUUUCUGUAUUACAUACUUUGUUUCUACUAGUUGAAGGUACCAGCAUUACAGAUACAGAAAGUGCAGAGCCAUUCCUACCCAGCAGGAGAAUUCAAAGUCACAAUUCCUUGAAGCACUAAAGAUAAGAAUUCCUAUAAGCACUGUGUCAAGUUUUCCACCACCCGCCCCAACAUCCACUGUGGACGAAGAAGUUGUGUAGGAUGGAGAUGGGAACAUGGCGGAAGUCGGCACAGCGGAGGUGAGAAGCUUGGCCCUUUGGCGGGGCCUGAAGAUUGCAGAGCAGUGUUGCAUGGAGAAGAGAGGGUCCAGGCUUGGGACAGCAGUGGUAACGUGUACAAUUCAUAGCAUCAGUGUGCUCCUUACACUCUGCCACAGAGACUACUUGCAAACGGAAAAAAUGUUAUUUUUAUACUUCAAAAGAAUUGUUAUGUUCCACUGUAACAUAUUUAAAUUAAAGCUUAUUAUUUGGUUA
Molecule: non-coding RNA, 1192 nt
Organism: Odocoileus virginianus texanus
Lineage: Eukaryota; Metazoa; Chordata; Mammalia; Artiodactyla; Cervidae
Source: RefSeq, a predicted model, not a curated record